This 333-nucleotide RNase P RNA is filed under the name Desmospora sp. 8437. Its description in RNAcentral is "Bacterial RNase P class A". It matches the Rfam family "Bacterial RNase P class A", at positions 43 to 349 of the family's 367-position model. Rfam says of the family: Ribonuclease P (RNase P) is a ubiquitous endoribonuclease, found in archaea, bacteria and eukarya as well as chloroplasts and mitochondria. The record is from RNAcentral. Lineage: Bacteria; Bacillati; Bacillota; Bacilli; Caryophanales; Thermoactinomycetaceae.
GAGGAAAGUCCGAGCUCCACAGGGCAGGGUGCCGGCUAACGGCCGGUGGGGGCAACCCUAAGGAUAGUGCCACAGAAAUGAAGACCGCCGAUGGGAACCAUUGGUUCCACAGGCAAGGAUGCAACGGUGCGGUAAGAGCGCACCAGCAACAUGGAGACAUGUUGGCUAGGUAAACCCCACCCGGAGCAAGACCUGAUAGGGGAUCCGCGCCGAGAGGCGCAGCUGUAGCCCGCAGUGAUCCCGGGUAGGUCGCUUGAGCGGUGCAGCAAUGCAUCGCCUAGACAGAUGAUUGCCACUCCGCCGGUGGGAGGCGUUUCGACAGACGCCGUCUGA